This 468-nucleotide ribosomal RNA is filed under the name uncultured bacterium. RNAcentral describes it as "partial 16S ribosomal RNA". It matches the Rfam family "Bacterial small subunit ribosomal RNA", at positions 28 to 507 of the family's 1533-position model. The record is from RNAcentral.
GACGAACGCUGGCGGCGUGCUUAACACAUGCAAGUCGAACGGAAAGGCCCUGCUUUUGUUGGUUGCUCGAUUGCCGAACGGGUGUGUAACACGUGUGUAACCUGCCCUUGACUUUGGGAUAACUUUUGGAAACUGGGGCUAAUACCGCAUAGGAUCUCCUGCUGCAUGUUGUGGGUUGGAAAGUUUCGGCGGUUGUGGAUGGACUCGCGGCUUAUCAGCUUGUUGGUGGGGUAGUGGCUUACCAAGGCUUCGAGGGGUAGCCUGCCUGAGAGGGUUAACGGGGACAAGAGGACUGAGGGAGGGACCAGAAGCGAACGUGAGGCAGCAGGGGAGAGUAUGACGCAAUGAGGGGAAGCGUGAUACAGAAACGCCGCGAGCGGGAUGACGGGCUUCGAGUUGUAAACAGCUUUCGCAUGUGACGAAGCGGGAGUGACGGUAAUGGGUAAAGAAGCACCGGCUAACUACGUG